Non-coding RNA from Lactuca sativa (garden lettuce), 911 nucleotides. The record is from RefSeq and is a predicted model, not a curated record. Lineage: Eukaryota; Viridiplantae; Streptophyta; Magnoliopsida; Asterales; Asteraceae.
UGUGUUGAUCUUGAUCUCUUUCUUCUUUUUAUCAUUCACCUCAAACUUAAAUCUCGUUGAUGCUGGUGAUACAACCUCAAUUAUAUUGAAUUCAUGAAAUUUUGAACAAUUGGUUAUGAAAAGUAAAGAUGUUUGGUUUCUCUUGUUCGGAGCACCCUGGUGUCCAUAUGUUAAACAACUUAAACCGGAGUGGGACAAGGCUUCAAAGGCUUUGUAAGGAAAGGUCAAGUUUGGUGAACUUGACUAUGACGUGGAAAAUGAUAUACAAGCAAGGUUUGGAGUAACUGGUUCCCGACUGUUUUUGCAUUUGGUCCAGAUAAAUGUGCAGCUCCCAAUGGAGUAACUGAAAGAACUGUAGACACACUUGAAAAGGCUGGCCUGGCUUACCAUGACAAAGCACAAGGGUGUAAAAUGGAGUUUUGAAUUGAGGAUUGCAUUCGAAUAAGAUUUGUUUGACUUGUUAUCGAUAUGAAACAAUAAUGACACCUUUAACCUUGGUAUAAAAAGCUAAUAAAGAGUAAUUUUAAUUUUGAUCCGAGAAACCAAAGCCGAAGCUCCUGCAUGUGAUCCUCGCGGCCCGAAUUGUGUGGUAAACCUUUCCAGAAAGAACCCGCUUGUCGUAGAAGGGGGUAAAGAAGAUAUGGAGGCGGAAAGGGAAAAAGAAGAUGACACCCCCGAGAUAAUUAUAGUUGGUCACAGCAAGAUGUCACGUUGACAAGAAUGUUGUUUUCCUCCAUUGUAUGUACUAUAAUUGUUAUGGUUUUGUUUUUUCUUUUGUGUUAGGCUUAUAUAUUUGCAUCUAUGUACAAUUUCGAUAUCUUAGCUUUGUGUUGCUUGUUUGAUUUGAUAUAGUUGGGUUUAAUGACAACCUAAAAACCUGUGUAUGAGAAAAAAAAAUGUCAAUAAAGGUG